RNAcentral lists this unclassified non-coding RNA (380 nucleotides) under Hevea brasiliensis (rubber tree). Lineage: Eukaryota; Viridiplantae; Streptophyta; Magnoliopsida; Malpighiales; Euphorbiaceae. The record is from RNAcentral.
CUUAAAUCAUAACAUCAUAAGAUUUGACGAACUAAAUAGAACAGUCAUCAAAUAUGUAGCUUUACAAGUAAAAGGUCAUAAAUAAGCUUUUUAACAUUUUGUUAAAUAUGGCAUUCAAAUGAUUUGAUCUUUAAAAGUAACAUCUCUAUGAUCAAAGUAAUCAAUGUGAGAGUAACUAUAAUCACAUAUCAACUUGACUAAUUAAUAUUUAUUUAAAUUCAUUAUUAUUAUAUUAACAAUUACUAUAUUACACAAUUUCAUCAAUAGUGAGGUCCAUCACCAAGCUAAUAAUGUUACAUAAGUACAAUGUACACAUUAACAUAAACAUGCACAAACAUUAUUGUAGGACUAGGACCAGUGUUAUUAAAGGCACCAAAAGG